RNAcentral lists this non-coding RNA (45 nucleotides) under Trichobilharzia regenti. Lineage: Eukaryota; Metazoa; Platyhelminthes; Trematoda; Strigeidida; Schistosomatidae. The record is from RNAcentral.
AUCCAGAUGACAAGUCCCAAAUAAGACGAAAUGCGAAUUGUGGAU